UACGUAGGGGGCAAGCGUUGUCCGGAAUCAUUGGGCGUAAAGCGCGCGUAGGCGGCCCUGUAAGUCCGUUGUGAAAGUCGAAGGCUCAACCUUCGAAAGCCGAUGGAUACUGCAGGGCUAGAGUCCGGAAGAGGCGAGUGGAAUUCCUGGUGUAGCGGUGGAAUGCGCAGAUAUCAGGAGGAACACCAAUAGCGAAGGCAGCUCGCUGGGAUGGUACUGACGCUAAGGCGCGAAAGCGUGGGGAGCGAACAGG
This 253-nucleotide ribosomal RNA is filed under the name uncultured bacterium. RNAcentral's name for it is "partial 16S ribosomal RNA". It matches the Rfam family "Bacterial small subunit ribosomal RNA", at positions 524 to 776 of the family's 1533-position model. The record is from RNAcentral.